RNAcentral lists this ribosomal RNA (1493 nucleotides) under metagenome. Its description in RNAcentral is "bacterial SSU rRNA". It matches the Rfam family "Bacterial small subunit ribosomal RNA". The record is from RNAcentral.
AGAGUUUGAUCCUGGCUCAGGAUGAACGCUAGCUACAGGCUUAACACAUGCAAGUCGAGGGGAAACGGUAUUGGAAGCUUGCUUCCGAUAGGCGUCGACCGGCGCACGGGUGAGUAACGCGUAUCCAACCUGCCCACCACUUGGGGAUAACCUUGCGAAAGUAAGACUAAUACCCAAUGAUAUCUCUAGAAGACAUCUGAAAGAGAUUAAAGAUUUAUCGGUGAUGGAUGGGGAUGCGACUGAUUAGCUUGUUGGCGGGGUAACGGCCCACCAAGGCAACGAUCAGUAGGGGUUCUGAGAGGAAGGUCCCCCACAUUGGAACUGAGACACGGUCCAAACUCCUACGGGAGGCAGCAGUGAGGAAUAUUGGUCAAUGGACGAGAGUCUGAACCAGCCAAGUAGCGUGCAGGAAGACGGCCCUAUGGGUUGUAAACUGCUUUUAUAAGGGAAUAAAGUGAGAGUCGUGACUCUUUUUGCAUGUACCUUAUGAAUAAGGACCGGCUAAUUCCGUGCCAGCAGCCGCGGUAAUACGGAAGGUCCGGGCGUUAUCCGGAUUUAUUGGGUUUAAAGGGGGCGUAGGCCGGAGAUUAAGCGUGUUGUGAAAUGUAGACGCUCAACGUCUGCACUGCAGCGCGAACUGGUUUCCUUGAGUACGCACAAAGUGGGCGGAAUUCGUGGUGUAGCGGUGAAAUGCUUAGAUAUCACGAAGAACUCCGAUUGCGAAGGCAGCUCACUGGAGCGCAACUGACGCUGAAGCUCGAAAGUGCGGGUAUCGAACAGGAUUAGAUACCCUGGUAGUCCGCACGGUAAACGAUGGAUGCCCGCUGCUGGUCUGAAUAGGUCAGCGGCCAAGCGAAAGCAUUAAGCAUCCCACCUGGGGAGUACGCCGGCAACGGUGAAACUCAAAGGAAUUGACGGGGGCCCGCACAAGCGGAGGAACAUGUGGUUUAAUUCGAUGAUACGCGAGGAACCUUACCCGGGCUUGAAUUGCAGAGGAAGGAUUUGGAGACAAUGACGCCCUUCGGGGCCUCUGUGAAGGUGCUGCAUGGUUGUCGUCAGCUCGUGUCGUGAGAUGUUGGGUUAAGUCCCGCAACGAGCGCAACCCUUAUGGUCAGUUACUACGCAAGAGGACUCUGGCCAGACUGCCGUUGACAAAACGGAGGAAGGUGGGGAUGACGUCAAAUCAUCAUGCCCUUUAUGACUUGGGCUACACACGUACUACAAUGGCGUUAAACAAAGAGAAGCAAGACCGCGAGGUGGAGCAAAACUCAGAAACAACGUCCCAGUUCGGACUGCAGGCUGCAACUCGCCUGCACGAAGUCGGAAUUGCUAGUAAUCGCAGAUCAGCAUGCUGCGGUGAAUACGUUCCCGGGCCUUGUACACACCGCCCGUCACACCAUGAGAGCCGGGGGGACCCGAAGUCGGUAGUCUAACCGCAAGGAGGACGCCGCCGAAGGUAAAACUGGUGAUUGGGGUGAAGUCGUAACAAGGUA